Molecule: long non-coding RNA, 200 nt
Filed under: Elaeis guineensis (African oil palm)
Lineage: Eukaryota; Viridiplantae; Streptophyta; Magnoliopsida; Arecales; Arecaceae
Description: long non-coding RNA (EGUI_LNC014401)
Source: RNAcentral
ACACCGAAAUCAUAUAAUCCAAUGAGCAAAUUUUCAAAUCUUUAAGCAAAUGGGCAAACUAUUUAUGCAUAGGACCAUUUGGAUCACAUGCCAAAAGAAUCAUUUUUCUUUUCAAGCAUAUGCACUUAUAAUGCAUUCUUUUGAAAUUCAUAUUUCACAUAAAUGCUUUUGUUCAAGUAUUUUGUCAUCAUCAAAAAGGG